RNAcentral lists this ribosomal RNA (650 nucleotides) under Bacillus sp. (in: firmicutes). RNAcentral describes it as "bacterial SSU rRNA". It matches the Rfam family "Bacterial small subunit ribosomal RNA", at positions 105 to 741 of the family's 1533-position model. The record is from RNAcentral. Lineage: Bacteria; Bacillati; Bacillota; Bacilli; Caryophanales; Bacillaceae.
GGUGAGUAACACGUGGGCAACCUGCCUGUAAGACUGGGAUAACUUCGGGAAACCGAAGCUAAUACCGGAUAGGAUCUUCUCCUUCAUGGGAGAUGAUUGAAAGAUGGUUUCGGCUAUCACUUACAGAUGGGCCCGCGGUGCAUUAGCUAGUUGGUGAGGUAACGGCUCACCAAGGCAACGAUGCAUAGCCGACCUGAGAGGGUGAUCGGCCACACUGGGACUGAGACACGGCCCAGACUCCUACGGGAGGCAGCAGUAGGGAAUCUUCCGCAAUGGACGAAAGUCUGACGGAGCAACGCCGCGUGAGUGAUGAAGGCUUUCGGGUCGUAAAACUCUGUUGUUAGGGAAGAACAAGUACGAGAGUAACUGCUCGUACCUUGACGGUACCUAACCAGAAAGCCACGGCUAACUACGUGCCAGCAGCCGCGGUAAUACGUAGGUGGCAAGCGUUAUCCGGAAUUAUUGGGCGUAAAGCGCGCGCAGGCGGUUUCUUAAGUCUGAUGUGAAAGCCCACGGCUCAACCGUGGAGGGUCAUUGGAAACUGGGGAACUUGAGUGCAGAAGAGAAAAGCGGAAUUCCACGUGUAGCGGUGAAAUGCGUAGAGAUGUGGAGGAACACCAGUGGCGAAGGCGGCUUUUUGGUCUGUAACU